UNUGGGCCGUUACUGACGCUGAGGAGCGAAAGCGUGGGGAGCGAACAGGAUUAGAUACCCUGGUAGUNCACGCUGUAAACGUUGGGCACUAGGUGUGGGGGCCACCCGUGGUUCCCGCGCCGUAGCUAACGCUUUAAGUGCCCCGCCUGGGGAGUACGGCCGCAAGGCUAAAACUCAAAGGAAUUGACGGGGGCCCGCACAAGCGGCGGAGCAUGCGGAUUAAUUCGAUGCAACGCGAAGAACCUUACCAAGGCUUGACAUGCGCCCCGGGCGCGCGGAGACGCGCGCGCAUUUGGUUGGGGGUGUGCAGGUGGUGCAUGGUUGUCGUCAGCUCGUGUCGUGAGAUGUUGGGUUAAGUCCCGCAACGAGCGCAACCCUUGCCCUAUGUUGCCAGCGCGUUGUGGCGGGGACUCGUGGGGGACUGCCGGGGUUAACUCGGAGGAAGGUGGGGAUGACGUCAAAUCAUCAUGCCCCUUAUGUCUUGGGCUUCACGCAUGCUACAAUGGCCGGUACAGAGGGUUGCGAUGCCGUGAGGCGGGGCGAAUCCCUUAAAGCCGGUCUCAGUUCGGAUUGGGGUCUGCAACUCGACCCCAUGAAGGUGGAGUCGCUAGUAAUCGCAGAUCAGCAACGCUGCGGUGAAUACGUACUCGGGCCUUGUACACACCGCCCGUCACGUCACGAAAGUUGGUAACGCCCGAAGCCCAUGNU
This 708-nucleotide ribosomal RNA is filed under the name uncultured bacterium. RNAcentral describes it as "bacterial SSU rRNA". It matches the Rfam family "Bacterial small subunit ribosomal RNA", at positions 728 to 1434 of the family's 1533-position model. The record is from RNAcentral.